Molecule: ribosomal RNA, 253 nt
Filed under: uncultured bacterium
Lineage: Bacteria
Description: partial 16S ribosomal RNA
Rfam family: Bacterial small subunit ribosomal RNA
Source: RNAcentral
UACGUAGGGGGCGAGCGUUAUCCGGAUUUACUGGGUGUAAAGGGAGCGUAGACGGCGUCGCAAGUCUGAAGUGAAAGCCCGUGGCUCAACCGCGGAACCGCUUUGGAAACUGCGAGGCUGGAGUGCUGGAGAGGUAAGCGGAAUUCCUGGUGUAGCGGUGAAAUGCGUAGAUAUUAGGAGGAACACCAGUGGCGAAGGCGGCCUGCUGGACGGUGACUGACGCUGAGGCUCGAAAGCGUGGGGAGCAAACAGG